GUGCUCACUUUGGCAGCUCAUAUACUAAUAUUAGAAAGAUAAAGAGAAGAUUAGCAUGGCCUAUACACAAGAAUGACACUUAAAUUUGUCAAGUGUUCUAUAGUUUU
Vulpes vulpes (red fox) is the source of this 107-nucleotide small nuclear RNA. NCBI's taxonomy places the organism in Eukaryota, Metazoa, Chordata, Mammalia, Carnivora, Canidae. The record is from Ensembl.